Non-coding RNA from Canis lupus familiaris (dog), 191 nucleotides. The record is from Rfam. NCBI's taxonomy places the organism in Eukaryota, Metazoa, Chordata, Mammalia, Carnivora, Canidae.
AUCGCUUCUCGUCCUUUUGACUAAGGUCAAGUGUAGUAUCUGUUCUUAUCAAUUUAAUAUCUGAUAUAUCCUCUUUCCGAGGACAAUAUAUUAAAUGGAUUUUUGGAGCAACAAGAUGGAAUAGGAGCUUGCUCUGUCAACUCCACACAUCGACCUGGUAUUGCAGUACUUUCAGGAAUGGUGCACCCCGU